CGUAGGUGCAAGCGUUGUCCGGAAUUAUUGGGCGUAAGAGCUCGUAGGCGGUCUGUCGCGUCUGCUGUGAAACUCAGGGCUUAACCCUGGGCCUGCAGUGGGUACGGGCAGACUAGAGUGCGGUAGGGAGACUGGAAUUCCUGGCGUAGCGGUGAAUGCGCAGAUAUCAGGAGGAACACCGGUGGCGAAGGCGGGUCUCCGGGCCGUAACUGACGCUGAGGAGCGAAAGCAUGGGUAGCGAACAGGAUU
RNAcentral lists this ribosomal RNA (249 nucleotides) under uncultured bacterium. RNAcentral's name for it is "partial 16S ribosomal RNA". It matches the Rfam family "Bacterial small subunit ribosomal RNA", at positions 526 to 779 of the family's 1533-position model. The record is from RNAcentral.